RNAcentral lists this ribosomal RNA (253 nucleotides) under uncultured bacterium. RNAcentral's name for it is "partial 16S ribosomal RNA". It matches the Rfam family "Bacterial small subunit ribosomal RNA", at positions 524 to 776 of the family's 1533-position model. The record is from RNAcentral.
UACGGAGGGUGCAAGCGUUGUCCGGAAUCACUGGGCGUAAAGGGCGCGUAGGCAGCCCGGUAAGUAGGGGGUGAAAUCCUGCGGCUUAACCGCAGGGCUGCCUUCUAAACUGUCGGGCUCGAGCACGGUAGAGGCAGAUGGAAUUCCCGGUGUAGCGGUGGAAUGCGUAGAGAUCGGGAAGAACAUCAGUGGCGAAGGCGGUCUGCUGGGCCGUUGCUGACGCUGAGGCGCGACAGCGUGGGGAGCAAACAGG